This 400-nucleotide ribosomal RNA is filed under the name uncultured bacterium. RNAcentral describes it as "bacterial SSU rRNA". It matches the Rfam family "Bacterial small subunit ribosomal RNA", at positions 338 to 753 of the family's 1533-position model. The record is from RNAcentral.
CCUACGGGGGGCAGCAGUGGGGAAUCUUGCGCAAUGGGCGAAAGCCUGACGCAGCAACGCCGCGUGCGGGAUGACGGCCUUCGUGGUUGUAAACCGCUUUCAGCAGGGACGAAAAUGACGGUACCUGCAGAAGAAGCCCCGGCUAACUACGUGCCAGCAGCCGCGGUAAUACGUAGGGGGCAAGCGUUGUCCGGAAUCAUUGGGCGUAAAGAGCUCGUAGGCGGUUCAGUAAGUCGGGUGUGAAAGCUCCGAGCUCAACUCGGAGAGGCCACUCGAUACUGCUGUGACUAGAAUCCAGUAGGGGAGUGUGGAACUCCUGGUGUAGCGGUGAAAUGCGCAGAUAUCAGGAAGAACACCAGCGGCGAAGGCGGCACUCUGGGCUGGAAUUGACGCUGAGGAG